This 429-nucleotide ribosomal RNA is filed under the name bacterium. Its description in RNAcentral is "partial 16S ribosomal RNA". It matches the Rfam family "Bacterial small subunit ribosomal RNA", at positions 355 to 776 of the family's 1533-position model. The record is from RNAcentral.
UAGGGAAUCUUCGGCAAUGGGGGCAACCCUGACCGAGCAACGCCGCGUGAGUGAAGAAGGUUUUCGGAUCGUAAAGCUCUGUUGUAAGAGAAGAACGUGUGUGAGAGUGGAAAGUUCACACAGUGACGGUAACUUACCAGAAAGGGACGGCUAACUACGUGCCAGCAGCCGAGGUAAUACGUAGGUCCCGAGCGUUGUCCGGAUUUAUUGGGCGUAAAGCGAGCGCAGGCGGUUUAAUAAGUCUGAAGUUAAAGGCAGUGGCUUAACCAUUGUUCGCUUUGGAAACUGUUAAACUUGAGUGCAGAAGGGGGGAGUGGAAUUCCAUGUGUAGCGGUGAAAGGCGUAGAUAUAUGGAGGAACACCGGUGGCGAAAGCGGCUCUCUGGUCUGUAACUGACGCUGAGGCUCGAAAGCGUGGGGAGCAAACAGG